RNAcentral lists this ribosomal RNA (466 nucleotides) under uncultured bacterium. RNAcentral's name for it is "partial 16S ribosomal RNA". It matches the Rfam family "Bacterial small subunit ribosomal RNA", at positions 28 to 507 of the family's 1533-position model. The record is from RNAcentral.
GACGAACGCUGGCGGCGUGCUUAACACAUGCAAGUCGAACGGAAAGGCCUCUUUCGGGGGGUACUCGAGUGGCGAACGGGUGAGUAACACGUGAGUAACCUGCCCUUGACUUUGGGAUAACUUCAGGAAACUGGGGCUAAUACCGGAUAGGAGCUCCUGCUGCAUGGUGGGGUUGGAAAGUUUCGGCGGUUGGGGAUGGACUCGCGGCUUAUCCGCUUGUUGGUGGGGUAGUGGCUUACCAAGGCUUUGACGGGUAGCCGGCCUGAGAGGGUGACCGGCCACAUUGGGACUGAGAUACGGCCCAGACUCCUACGGGAGGCAGCAGUGGGGAAUAUUGCACAAUGGGUGGAAGCCUGAUGCAGCAACGCCGUGUGCGGGAUGACGGCCUUCGGGUUGUAAACCGCUUUCGCUCAUGACGAAGCUUUGUGUGACGGUAGUGGGUAAAGAAGCACCGGCUAACUACGUG